AGAGUUUGAUCAUGGCUCAGGACGAACGCUGACGGUGUGCUUUAGGCAUGCAAGUCGAACGAGAAAGCCCUUCGGGGUGAGUAAAGUGGCGAACGGGUGAGUAACACGUGGGCAACCUGCCCCUCGCAGGGGGACAACCGGAGGAAACUCCGGCUAAUACCCCGUACGCUUGUUGGAUCGCAUGGUCCGGCAAGGAAAGGUAGCUUCGGCCAUCCGGCGAGGGAUGGGCCCGCGUUGCAUUAGCUAGUUGGUGGGGUAACGGCCUACCAAGGCGACGAUGCGUAGCUGGUCUGAGAGGAUGAUCAGCCACACUGGGACUGAGACACGGCCCAGACUCCUACGGGAGGCAGCAGCCAGGAAUCUUGGGCAAUGGGCGAAAGCCUGACCCAGCAACACCGUGUGGGUGAUGAAGGCCUUCGGGUCGUAAAGCCCUGUUGAUAGGGACGAAGGGCGAAGGGUUAAUAGCCCGGAGCUUGACGGUACCUUUCGAGGAAGCCCCGGCUAACUACGUGCCAGCAGCCGCGGUAAUACGUAGGGGGCGAGCGUUGUCCGGAAUUAUUGGGCGUAAAGAGCGUGUAGGCGGUUCGGUAAGUCUGCUGUGAAAUCCUGGGGCUCAACCCUGGGCGUGCAGCGGAUACUGCCGGGCUAGAGGGUGGUAGAGGCGAGUGGAAUUCCGAGUGUAGCGGUGAAAUGCGCAGAUAUUCGGAGGAACACCAGUAGCGAAGGCGGCUCGCUGGGCCACACCUGACGCUGAGACGCGAAAGCGUGGGGAGCGAACAGGAUUAGAUACCCCUGUAGUCC
This 801-nucleotide ribosomal RNA is filed under the name uncultured Rubrobacter sp. RNAcentral's name for it is "bacterial SSU rRNA". It matches the Rfam family "Bacterial small subunit ribosomal RNA", at positions 8 to 796 of the family's 1533-position model. The record is from RNAcentral. Lineage: Bacteria; Bacillati; Actinomycetota; Rubrobacteria; Rubrobacterales; Rubrobacteraceae.